Molecule: non-coding RNA, 842 nt
Organism: Oncorhynchus mykiss (rainbow trout)
Lineage: Eukaryota; Metazoa; Chordata; Actinopteri; Salmoniformes; Salmonidae
Source: RefSeq, a predicted model, not a curated record
AUCCAUGUGUGUGGAGUGAACCCAAUGGAGACCAACACCUGCUCUGGGACCUACACCAGGAAGCCCAGCCUGCCCUACACAGGAACUGAUGUGUCCGGGGUUGUGGAGGCUGUUGGAGAUGGGGUCCAACUUACAGGCUGGUGACCGUGUGUUUGCCACGGCCACAGAGACUGGAAGGUAUGCAGAAUACACCGUUGUGUCUGAUGACCUUGUCUCCCGGCUGCCAGACUCCUUAGACUACAAACAGGGAGCUGCCAUUUGGGAUCCCUUACUUCACAGCAUACAGAGCUCUCUCCCAUAAAGCACAUGCUAAAGCAGGCGAGACAGUACUCAUCCAUGGAGCCAGCGGCGGGGUGGGGGUGUGCAGCGUGUCAGGUGGCCUUGGGUCUGAGGGUCCUGGGGACAGCAGGGACCGCAGAGGGACUGAAGCUUGCCCUGAAGAACAGAGCUCACAUAGAAUGCUCUUUCCAUGACAUAGACUGACCACAUGAAUCCAGGUACAAGAGAAGUCAGGGGUGCGUAUGACACCGUCCCAUCCAUGCCAUCUCGGGUGACAGCCCCUGCGGACUGAGCAUGCCCAGAGGAGCACAGGAGCAGUAAGACUAGGCCCAUGAAGGAGUUAAGACAAGAUGGUGCUUUAAGCUUUAAGACGAUGAUUCCCUGAGACCACUUUCAUGGAUGAGCAAACAAAAAACCAUGCAGCCUGGCCAAUAACCAAACCAUGAGAAGUGUUCUCCUGAUGCUGAUGCUGUCAAUCCCACGCACCCAGUGCCUCUCUUCAUGUCCAGCUUCCUGUGUGGUGUGCUCUGACGACGCUGUCAUCUGCCACAAGCUCUCCAACU